GCAAAACCCCACCACCCGCGUGGCCCGCUGCAGCGGCGACGUCGCCGCCGAGCAAAACUGCAAGCAACCCGGAGGCGCGCGAGCCCCACGCCGCCCUCCCCUCCUCGUCGAUUCUCGGCGUAUCUAUCCCCCAACAUCGCAAUUACACAGGAGAGGCAUCCAACCAACCAAUACCCCGCCCGGGAGCGAUUUCGCCUCGCGCCGCAUGGACCGCAUCGUCGGCGGCAAGUUUCGGCUCGGACGGAAGAUCGGCUGCGGCUCCUUCGGCGAGAUCUACCUCGCCACGCACAUCGACACCUACGAGAUCGUCGCCGUCAAGAUUGAGAGCAGCAAGACGAAGCACCCCCAGUUGUUUUACGAGGCAAAGCUCUACAACACUCUCCAAGGAGGGAGUGGCAUUGCAAAUGUCAAGUGGUGUGGUGUAGACGGGGAAGAAAAUGUUCUCGUCAUUGACCUGCUGGGACCAAGUUUGGAGGACCUCUUUGUCUAUUGCGGCAGGAAAUUCACACUCAAGACUGUCUUAAUGCUGGCUGAUCAGAUGAUUACAAGAAUUGAGUUUAUGCAUUCCAAAGGGUACUUACACAGAGACAUAAAACCUGACAACUUUCUGAUGGGUCUUGGUCGGAAAGCAAAUCAGGUAUACAUAAUUGAUUUUGGGCUUGCGAAAAGAUACCGGGAUUCUACAACGAACCGUCAUAUUCCUUACAGAGAAAAUAAGAACUUGACUGGCACAGCACGCUAUGCAAGUUGUAACACCCACCUUGGAAUUGAACAAAGCCGCAGGGAUGAUUUGGAAUCUCUAGGCUAUGUCCUUUUGUAUUUUCUCCGAGGAAGCCUUCCUUGGCAGGGACUAAAAGCUGCAACAAAGACACAGAAGUAUGACAAGAUAUGUGAGAAAAAGAUAUCAACUCCUAUCGAGGUCUUGUGCAAAUCCUGUCCGGUCGAAUUCGCAUCUUACUUCCAUUACUGCCAUUCAUUGACAUUUGAUCAGCGACCAGACUAUGCAUUUGUGAAGCGACUUUUUCGUGACUUGUUUACCCGCCAAGGUUACGAAUUUGAUUAUGUCUUUGACUGGACAGUUUUAAAAUACAAACAAGGCCAAAAACAAAAGCGAAGUCCUGGGGUACCAGCUCGACCAAUUCAAGAAGAUGUACAGAAACAAGCAGCUUUGUGGUUAACAGGUGUAAAUGGUGUUUUUCAUAGUGAAGCCCGGGAGCAUGUAGAGACAAGCCAUCCAACAUGGCAAGCUGCAGAGUCUCAAGGCAAGCAGGCAACCGAUAAAGAUCAAAAUUCCAGCAUGCAGCAUACUGUGAACCUUAGACAAGAUGUGGAUGAUGGAAAAGCACAGCUGACAUCUGUCGCACUUCCUAGUUCCCUGUGGAAAAAUGAUGGUGAUUCAAGACAAAAAGGACAAUUUGAUGCCGUUCACCACAAUCAGGGUUUUGUAAACAUAACUGGCUCAUCUAACAGCUGGCUUCCUACAUUCAAGCACAAUGCCCCCGCAAAGUGACAGUUAAACCUAUCAUGUCUGGUGGAGCAAUGAGGAAAUGCAAAGAGUUAGAGGAGACCCCUGUUCCUUCAAGGUGGUUCAGAGUCAAGUAUCACACAGUCAAUGUAGACUUGAUGUUUAAUUCGUGUUAGUGAGGUGGAGGAAGAAGAUGAGAGGAAGAAGAAGGACUCAGGAAGAGCACACGAAAUGGAGCUGCUUCAAUCUUGUGAGCUGCAUCUGCUCUCCUUUUUUAUAGACACUCUUGGUCAAGUCAUCUGCCGCCCAAGUCAAAGGACCAGGCAUGGCAAAGCACAGUAGCAGGAGCUCCCACUACUGCUCAAACAUGAUGACAAGCAUGAGCAUGGGUAAUUAUCUAUAAGAUAGUAUGCCAUUCUUAAGUUGAAUCUGUCUACAUUGGGGCCUCCGCAUCUUUAGCAGAAUGAUGCUUUCACGCCAUGGGAACCAGCUAUAUAUCUUCUGAUGUCAUCAGUUCGACGUGGAAUCAUUCAAGUGGCCAAUUUUUUUAAAAAAGAAAGGUAUGAAAGGAGGGGUAGUAAGUCGAGUCAUGGAAGGUGCUACAGUUCUUACCAGUCUUGCUCUGGCAAUGUUUCUGACACUACCCUUCUAGUGAAGGCUUUGGAUAACUUGACUUUUGUUAAAGCGUCUAGUUUGAUGGAAUAUAUUUUUAUCAGAACCAAUAACUAAUGUUUGAUCAUUGGAGGGACUUCCAGUCAGUUUGUUUGUCCUCUUUCACGUAAACAUCUCCUGUAGUAAAUAAGCUAAUUUUUUUUUACAUUCAUCAAAAUGUGGGGCCAAAUAUUUGCCACUAUCAUAACAGAACCUUCUACCAUUCUUUCUGUUAUAUUGCUAUUAUCUUUUAUCAUUUCAAAGCUUUGGUGAUCCUUUCCUACUCCAUGGUCCAACAAACUCCACAUUUUUUUUCCCGACGAACCAACGGGGGGCAAGGCGUCCACCUGAACUUGAAUUCAAUCGGAAGCUGCCGAAACAGCCAAGGUUUACAAGUGGUCACUUGUAUUUUGGAGCAAGCGCCGGGCUCCAGGGGAGAGAAACAGUAGGGGGGGGAGGGGUUUGCUACUAAAGUUUAUGUUACAUCAUUAAGAGAAUUGCACCAGAGCAAAAUCCGAGUCGAGUCGACACAGCGGGGAGCACGAAAGAUCCAGAGCCGGAGGUGUGCACGCAUCGACGCGAUAAUGCCGUCCACGUCGAGGGAGAUGUUGUCGAAGAUCAUACGGUUCCUGGCUUUCCAGAUGCACCAGAGGACGAGAAGAAGCGUGGUGUUGGUGGAGGGUUCAUCCAAACCUGCAGUAGAGGCGAGAGAGGAGUGGAUGGAGGGCAGGUCGGUUGGAACGAGGGGGUGAGGGAAGAUCCGGUCCCAGAGACCGCGGAGGCAGGGGCACGUCACAAAGAGGUGCACAGCAUCUUCAACCCAGGGGCAGAACGGGCAGAUGUCAGUGUCGAGGCAACCAUGGCGGUGCAGGCGUUCCUGCGUUCUGGUCCUCCCAAGGUGCAGUAGCCAGAAGGCAAACUGAACUUUGGACGGCGCGAAGUUGUUCCAGUUGGCGUCGGCGAGAGGCGGGGGCAGAGCCGCAGGCGCGGCACGGAUCACCUCAUAGACGAGACUGACGUGGAAGGACGACGAAGGCGAGGUCGUGACGAAGCGGUGGUCAUGCCCGGGGGAGAGGGGUACCGUGGCAAGCGCGGCAUCCAGGAGGGCGAGCUCGUGGCUGGCCACAGAGGAGAGUCGCGGAGGCCAGGCAAGGCCGCAAGCGCCAAGGGCCACCGCAGUUUUGACGCUGAUAGUUGUAUCCAAGCAGUGAGAGAAGAGCGCCGGGCGGGAGUCCUUGAGCACGCCGGCGGAUGACCAAGAGUCAAACCAGAAGGAGGUGGACUCACCAUCGGAGAGGAUGACGGGCGUCAUGCUCCUGUAGAGGGGGAGGAGUGACUUCAUGGUGCGCCAGCAUGGAGAGUCACCCGAGGCACGUCCGUCCCAAUACCAGUAGCGGAUCCAAGCGGCCCAAGGGUUGGGGUCGCCGGAGUAGAGCUUGUGUAGGUUCUUGAGGAGGAGGCUCUUGUUUUGUGUAGCGAGGUCCUUGACGCCGAGGCCGCCAUCUUCCUUGGGGAGGCAGACUGUCUCCCAGGCAACCAGGCAGUCACCGCCGGUGGCUUUGGUGGCGCCUUUCCAUGUCACCACAUUUGCAUCCUAACAAGGUCCAGUCGGUUUGUAUGUGCACUCUUGCUUCAGUUGCACACUGCCUGAUAGGUUCAUCUGUUGACUUGAUCAUGUAAAUUAAGAUGUAACCUGGUUGAAAGCUGGGAGAGGCCACGAGGUAUGUAAUCUCCCAAAAUUUUGAACUCUGCUGCUCUCUUACUGGAUGGGCAGUUCUCCUGCGGUAUUAUCCAUUACAGUUUUAUCCCCCAAACCUUUGCUGAUUUUUUUGGUGCAAGGUUAUCAUUUGAAAUUUGUAAGGUUGGUGCUACCGGGCGCCAGAGAUCACUGCAUCAGUAAGGUUGCUUUGGUUGGGCACUGGGAGUUGGUGCCCCCAAAAUUUAGGGACUUGUCGAGCGAACGAACAGCUGCUUCCACUACCGGGAAAGCGUCUUAUCACAUUGUAGCAGCACUUUGUUUCGCUGCACGAACGGCGAUGAUGAGGUGUUUGCUUUCUCAAGCAUCUAGUGUUUCUUUUGGCAUGCAGGAGGGGGGGUGGAGGAAGCAAAGCAAAACAAAGCUUGCCAAUUGGUUGGGGUUAUAUUUUCUAGGGGAAUCCAACAAAAAAAAACUAUUAGGGAACAAGUUUUUGCCUUAUGCCGCUUCAUCUUGAUGUCACUAAGCACUAAUAAGGACAAGCUCGAUAUAUAUGUACAUCAUGAUGCUGGUCACUAAGAAAUACAGGAAAGAAGGGAUGCAAAAGAUCAAAGAUGAAUAAACCUUCUCGCAUAAUGUGUGGGAUCAUCAGCAAACAUUAUCACAUAGAAAUUAAGCAGGUGGGUGGUGGACUAGCACCGGCAGAGUACUCAAUUUACUUCUGUUCGAGGAACUUUAGCUUGGUGCUUGGAAUUGAGAUUGUACCAGAAUUAUGAAAAAAGAAAACAAUGUGCUCCUUGGUGCUUA
This is an RNA transcript of Panicum virgatum (switchgrass), 4619 nucleotides long. It is a transcript of the gene named casein kinase 1-like protein 4, with no coding region annotated. The record is from RefSeq and is a predicted model, not a curated record. NCBI's taxonomy places the organism in Eukaryota, Viridiplantae, Streptophyta, Magnoliopsida, Poales, Poaceae. The transcript has 19 exons.